RNAcentral lists this ribosomal RNA (1493 nucleotides) under oral metagenome. Its description in RNAcentral is "bacterial SSU rRNA". It matches the Rfam family "Bacterial small subunit ribosomal RNA". The record is from RNAcentral.
AGAGUUUGAUCCUGGCUCAGGAUGAACGCUAGCGGCAGGCUUAACACAUGCAAGUCGAGGGGCAGCAUUACUUUCGGGUAGAUGGCGACCGGCGGACGGGUGAGUAACGCGUAUGCAACCUAUCUAUAACAUGGGGAUAGCCCGUGGAAACGCGGAUUAAUACCUGAUGCUAUAUAUUUACGGCAUCGUAAAUAUAUAAAAGAUUUAUCGGUUAUAGUUGGGCAUGCGUGCCAUUAGAUAGUUGGUAAGGUAACGGCUUACCAAAUCGAUGAUGGCUACGGGGUCUAGAAGGAUGGUCCCGCACACUGGUACUGAGACACGGACCAGACUCCUACGGGAGGCAGCAGUGAGGAAUAUUGGUCAAUGGGGGUAACCCUGAACCAGCCAUGUCGCGUGAAGGAUUACGGUCUAAUUGAUUGUAAACUUCUUUUAAGAGGGAAGAACAGUAGGUAUUAAUACUUAUAUGCCGGUACCUUUUGAAUAAGCAUCGGCUAACUCCGUGCCAGCAGCCGCGGUAAUACGGAGGAUGCAAGCGUUAUCCGGAUUUAUUAGGUUUAAAGGGUGCGUAGGCUGUAUAUUAAGUCAGCGGUGAAAAGUUUCGGCUUAACCGGAAUCGUGCCGUUGAAACUGUUAUACUUGAAUUAGGUUUAGGUAGGCGGAAUGUGUAAUGUAGCGGUGAAAUGCUUAGAUAUUACCCAGAACACCAAUUGCGAAGGCAGCUUACUGUACCUUGAUUGACGCUGAUGCACGAAAGCGUGGGUAUCGAACAGGAUUAGAUACCCUGGUAGUCCACGCCGUAAACGAUGAUCACUGGCUGUGUGCGAUAUAUAGUAUGUGGCUGAGCGAAAGCAUUAAGUGAUCCACCUGGGGAAUCAAGAAUGAAACUCAAAGGAAUUGACGGGGGCCCGCACAAGCGGAGGAACAUGUGGUUUAAUUCGAUGAUACGCGAGGAACCUUACCUGGUCUUAAAUGAUGUUUGCUAUAAUCGGAAACGGUUAUUUCUUCGGACAGAUAUCAAGGUGCUGCAUGGCUGUCGUCAGCUCGUGCCGUGAGGUGUCGGGUUAAGUCCCAUAACGAGCGCAACCCCUAUCAUUAGUUGCUAACAGUUUAAGCUGAGGACUCUAGUGAGACUGCCACCGUAAGGUGUGAGGAAGGUGGGGAUGACGUCAAGUCAGCACGGCCCUUACGACCAGGGCUACACACGUGUUACAAUGGUCGAUACAAUAUGUUGCAAUUCGGUGACGGAGAGCUAAUCAAUAAAGUCGGUCUCAGUUCGGAUCGGAGUCUGCAACUCGGCUCCGUGAAGUUGGAUUCGCUAGUAAUCGCAUAUCAUCAACGAUGCGGUGAAUACGUUCCCGGGCCUUGUACACACCGCCCGUCAAGCCAUGGAAGCUGGGGGUACCUGAAGUUCGUAACCGCGAGGGGCGGCCUAGGGUAAUACUAGUAACUGGGGCUAAGUCGUAACAAGGUAGCCGUACCGGAAGGUGUGGCUG